CACCACAGGUUCUGUACCGGAAACAGAAUUGAUUAGUUCACCUCUGGAGUUUUUGGUUCACUUCACAGCCCCACUGCCUUCGGAAUAUGGGGCAGUCACAUGAUGAACGAAUGCCUCGAACCUGAAGACUUGAAACGUGAACUAAUCAAAUGUGACGUGACAAAAGAAGAACGAUUCGGAUCGGGAGGAGCUGAGUGCUUCCAGAGGCUGCGGGAGGUCCUUUGCUGCACCUUGGGCUUUACUUAAUUAAGGGUUGUUAUUAUUGCUGUGUUUAUUUGCAGUGAAUUUUGUGGGUAUGAUUCUGAUUAGUGGGGUGAUUUUCCCUUUUGUACAGCUGGUGCUGUCGUGCUAGCCUGCCCUUCACACAGGAAGCCUCAGUCUUCCUAUGAUUAUUGUUCAUUUUCUCUUGUGACUGUUUUAUUUGACCAACGCCUGACUGUGUUGGCUGCUUUUUUAAAAAAAAAAAUUCUUGGCCAGUUUUUUUAACUUCAAAAUAAAAUGUAUUUUUGUAUGGAAACCCAUGCGUCUUGCCUAUUCUAAGUGGAACGUAUUUGUGUGUCUAUAUUUGGGUUAUUUUCCCCGUUUCCUCGGGGUGGCGUAGUUGUUGUAAAACGAGCCACAUUGCUGCACUCCCUCAUUAGCUUUGCUUACAAUAUCAAUAUGUAUAUGAACGGCUAGCCAUGAAAUAUAUCAAGAGAUUUGGUGAGAAUCUAUUACUUUGGUCCUGAUCGUGCUUGUGUACACUGUUUAUUACAUUUUUUAAUGACUUUUUUUUCUUUUCUUCAUAGAAUUAUUUCAGGCACAGAAGUAACUUUGUCUUUUUGUCAUAACCAAUAUGUAAAAAAUAUUAAACUUGCAUUUUUUGUUCUUUUACCUAAAGUAAAGUGUAACUUUAUGCACUUGGCAGCAGUGCUGUAGUACUUUGGAAUGGAACCUUAUGACCUUUGACCCGCACUGUGAAAAUUCAAAUGCCUUUUUUUUCAGUGUUGUUUGACAUGUUUCUGUGUUAUGUUUGUUUGAUGUUCUGUAAUGACUGAAUGUCAGCGCAGAAUUCACCAGACUUGUGUCAAUGGACCUGAGCAAGUUCUUUUAUGAGGGUCUUGACAAACACGCCUCAAAGCUGCUGUAUUUGUACCGCACAAGGCGCUAUGCAGACAACACAGAAAUGAGUGCCACAGUGGAGAACCUGGAUAAAAAUGCAUCAAAUCAACGGAAGAGGGUUGCAGUACAGUUGGGGCUGCCACUGUCCAUGCGGGAGAAUCCAUCUCAGUUCAUAAAGAUCUGUG
Ictalurus punctatus (channel catfish) is the source of this 1286-nucleotide long non-coding RNA. RefSeq lists it as uncharacterized. The record is from RefSeq and is a predicted model, not a curated record. NCBI's taxonomy places the organism in Eukaryota, Metazoa, Chordata, Actinopteri, Siluriformes, Ictaluridae. The transcript has 3 exons.